This 851-nucleotide ribosomal RNA is filed under the name uncultured archaeon. Its description in RNAcentral is "bacterial SSU rRNA". It matches the Rfam family "Archaeal small subunit ribosomal RNA", at positions 18 to 873 of the family's 1478-position model. The record is from RNAcentral.
CGGAGGCUACCGCUAUUGGAGUCCGAUUAAGACCUGCGAGUCGAGAGCUUUCGGAGCUCGGCAUACUACUCAGUAACACGUGGGUAACCUGCCCUGUGCUGGGGGAUAACCUCGGGAAACUGAGAACAAUACCCCAUAGUCCACUACGCCUGGAACGGUGAGUGGAUGAAAGCCCCGGCGGCACAGGAUGGGCCUGCGGCGUAUCAGGUAGUAGGGGGUGUAAAGUACCCUCUAGCCUUCGACGCGUACGGGUUGUGAGAGCAAUAGCCCGGASAUGGAUUCUGAGACACGAAUCCAGGUCCUACGGGACGCAGCAGUCGCGAAACCUUGACAAUGCGGGAAACCGUGAUCAGGGGACUCCAAGUGCCAGGAGUAAGAUCCUGUGCUUUUCUUUUCUCUUCAAAGGAUUUGGAAUAASAGGUGGGUAAGGACGGUGCCAGCCGCCGCGGUAAUACCGGCGCCUCGAGUGGUAGUCGAUUUUAUUGGGCCUAAAACGUCCGUCGCCGGUCUGGUGCAUUCGUGGGUAAAUCAACCCGCUCAACGGGUUGAAUUCUGCGAGCACGGCCAGACUAGGGACCGGGAGAGGUGUGGGGUACGCUCGGGGUAGGGGUAAAAUCCUGUCAUCCCGAGCGGACCACCUGUUGCGAAGGCUCCACACUAGAACGGAUCCGACGGUCAGGGACGAAGCCUAGGGGCACGAACCGGAUUAGAUACCCGGGUAGUCCUAGGUGUAAACGCUGUGGACUUGGUGUUGGGAGCUCCCAGAGGGCUCUCAGUGCCGUAGCGAAGGUGAUAAGUCCACUGCCUGGGGAGUACGGUCGCAAGGCUGAAACUUAAAGGAAUUGGCGGGG